AGGGGGCACCUGGAUUUGAACCAGGGACCUCUUGAUCUGCAGUCAAAUGCUCUACCCCUGAGCUAUACCCCU
RNAcentral lists this transfer RNA (72 nucleotides) under Eschrichtius robustus (grey whale). Its description in RNAcentral is "tRNA-Cys". The record is from RNAcentral. Lineage: Eukaryota; Metazoa; Chordata; Mammalia; Artiodactyla; Eschrichtiidae.